GUUCCCUAUAUGUCACUCACUCGACGUUGUGUCGAUGUAGUGAUACUAGGGGUCCCUAUAUGAAACACCAUAAUCAGCUGAACUGUGUUACAUGGAUUGGCGGUGCAGGUGCAGGCAGGCCACUGCGUGCCAAGUAAGAAGUGCACCGGCCCCAUCGUAAACUUCCCAAUGCCCCGUUCACAUUGUAUGGACCCUCGCCCCCCGAAAGCAUAGGGGGUCAGACGUGCCCACAAUGAGAACAGGCCGCACCAGCUGGUUCAGCCUUUUCUCUUCUUUCUUCUCCCGGAGAAAGAACUCACUUGAUUCCAGCUGGGGCCAAAACGUAUUCAUGUCGGGGUAGGUCCGUGUCGCGGAGACCACACCCUGCUCGAAGGGGAGGUAAUUGUGAGGAAAUACGUCUCAUGGGCUUACCGCUUCUUUAUCGGCAGUAUCGCAUGUGGAGAAAGUCCCCGUGGCAGGUCCUACCCGGAGGGGAUGGAGCUCUACAAACAUGGCAACCAGUGGAAGAGGGGACUCUGCCCAAGGGGAGACAAGGGUCUACCAUUAGGGAGACCGUACCAUGGAAGAUUACGUCAUAUGGGGUUACCGACAGGGAACCAAUGCAUAUGGAGCACCUAUCCCAGUACAGGGGAUGACCUGAACAGGGCAUACUGACACAAGUACUGGGCCUGGCAUUGAAUUCCUCCCCUGAAUUUGCUUGCCGCAGGUGCUGAGGGAGGAAUCCAGGGUUCAUCGAUCCCGGGAACUCACGUGGAUGAAAGAGCACACGUCUUCCCCUCAGAAGGGGAAAGGCACUUGUGUGCCAAUGGUACACCCGGCCAGCUGCCUACAUCCUUACCUGUUUGUACCUACCAACACACGGGAAUAAACUGGCUCAACCCGAAGAUUAUAAAAUCUCACGAAGGUACUGGGUGUUGCCCAGCCUGCUGCCCUACAGAUGUCUGUUAGAGAGGCACUGUUGGCCAAGGCCCAGGAGGAAGCUACGCUCCUGGUAGAGUGCACUCGUAGUCCCAAAGGGGACAGUGCACCCUGGGCCUGGUAUGCCAUCGCGAUGGCAUCCAUAAUCCAGUGGGCAAUCCUCUGUUUGGAGAGAGCGUUCCCCUUCUGCUGUCCCCCUAAACAGACAAAGAGCUGCUUGGAGCAUCUAAAGCUCUCUGUGCGGUCCAAAUAGAUACACAAAGCGCGUACCAGACACAGCAACGACAAGGCUGGGUCUUCCUCCUCCCGGGGCAGCGCUUGCAGGUUCACCACCUGAUCUUUAAAAGGGGUAAUGGGAACCUUGGGCACAUAGCCUGGCCAGGGUCUCAGGAUCACGUGAGAGUAUGCUGGGCUGAACGAUAGGCACAUAUCACUGUAUGCAUGCAGGUCCCCAACCCUCUUGAUGGAGGUGAGCACAGUCAGGAGGGCCGUCUUCAAGGAGAGGGCUUUCAGCUCAACUGACUCUAAGGGCUCAAAAGGGGCUUUCUGUAGGCCCAGCAGGACCAAAGAGAGGUCCCAUGAGGGAACGAGGUGCGGCCUGGGAGGAUUCAACCUCCUUGCACCUCUAAGGAACCUGAUGAACAGGUCGUGCUUCCCUAAAUACUUACCAUCCACUGCAUCGUGGUGUGCUGCAUAGCGGCUACAUACACCUUCAAGGUGGAGGGGGACAGCCACCCUUCCAACCUCUCCUGCAGGAAGGAAAGCACCAACUCUGUGGGUCUUUGCCUCAGGAAGAACACCAAUUCGUGAACAGAUGCCACUUCAAGGCGUACAGUCGCCUGGUAGAGGGGACCCUGGCCUGAGUGAUAGUGUCUACCACCAUGGGUGGUAGGCCACUCAGAUCUUCCACGUCCCAUCCAAGGGCCAGACGUGGAGGUUCCAGAGGUCUGGUCGUGGGUGCCUGAUUGUGCCUCGUCCCUGAGAAAGAAGGUCCUUCCUCAGGGGAAUUUUCCAGGGAGGGGCUGUCGCGAGGAGCAUGAGUUCCGAGAACCAAGCCUGGGUGGGCCAGUAGGGCGCUACCAACAGGACCUGUUCCUCGUUCUCCCUGACCUUGCACAAUGUCUGUGCAUAUAGACUCACUGGGAGAAACUCAAGCCGAGGAGGGCCUCAGUCAGGGAAUACCACAAAUGGGAGGAUUCCCAGGAGACAAACAGGUCUACCUGUGCCUCGCCAAAUCGACUCCAAAUCAGCCGGACCACCUGGGGGUGGAGCCUCCUCUGCAUACCCAACGUAGGACUGGUCAGCGAUGGGAGAGGAGGCUGAGCGUCCUCGUUUCCAGCCACAACCGCCUGUGCGUAGGUGUAUGUGCAUCACGGCCGGGUGUGUGGAGGUGGGAAAUCCACACCUGCAAUGCCCUGGCCAUGAAUGCUCGGUAUGAGGCUGUCAUAACCACAACUGCCCUUCGGGCGUGUGGCGAACUCAAAAAAGGGAACCAAGGAUUCUUCCUCCGGCCCUCCACUGGGGGAUGUGGCGCAAGUCUCCUCACCUCUGGGUCAUCCAUCUCAGGGGCGCUUAGAAGCCUUCCUGGGGUUCUUGGUCACGGACCGUGAGACGGGGGGCAUCAACUUCCUGCGGGGAGCUGUACGCCAGGGCCGAGCUGUUGGCUCAGGCUGCAGUGGAGCCGAUGUUGCCGCCGCAGGAGGAUCGCCAUGGCAAUGGGCAGACAGGGUGCGUGAUCUUGUACCAUGCCGGGGCAAGAUGAGCUGAAUGGCCUCGGUUUGCUGCUUUAUCGUUUGAAAACUGCUGCGCAAAGUCUUCGGUGUCGCCGAAAAGGCCAGCCUGGGAAAUGGGGGCAUCAAGGAAGCGAACCUUGUCGGCAUCCCUCAUCUCAACCAGGCUGAGCCAAAGGUGGCGCCCCUGGACCACCAACGUGGACAUCGCCUGCCCAAGAGCCCGCGCUGUGACCUUCGUCGCCUGUAGGGUGAGGUCGGUCGCCGAGCGCAGCUCCUGAAUUACUUCCGGGUCAGGACCACCCUCGUUCAGCUCUUUCAAUGCCUUGGCCUGGUGGACCUGCAGGAGGGCCAUGGCAUGCAGAGCAGAGGCGGUACUGUAAAGGCACUGUAAGCCUUUGCCAUCAGAGACGAUGUAAUCUUACAGGCCUUGGAUGGGAGCCCAGGUGGUGGUGCUCUGCAGGCACAAGUGCACCGAGAGUGGUGAGAGCAGCAGAACUCGAAAGCCCGGUCCGGGCAGUGAAAGGUGCCCGCCACGACUUUGUGAGUUCUUCAUGCAUGGGACGUUCUCCGCACUUAUCUGUGCGAGAGGGGGAGAAACCGCUGUGAUGCGCCAUGAAAUCCAACAGCCGCGGAGAUCGCUUGCUUUCUACAGAGGCGAAUGGAUUGGCAGUGGAAUACAUCAACACUGCUCAGCUCGAAGAAAAAAUCUGAAUGAGUGGUUGCACACCAGCUCCUUUUAUACCCGUAUGUCCGGGGGAGUGGCAUGCAAGCCAAUUUUCAUUGGCCUUUUCUCAAACAUCAGAGGUGUUUGGGGCUCCCAAGGGCGACCCCUAGUGUAACUACAUCAACACAACAUCGAGUGAGUGACAGAUAGGGAACAAGCAAGUCAAAAAUACUGUAAAUUUGCAUUCAGAAUAUUGAGAAACACUGAUGAGUUUUGAGUGCCAUGUUUGUUCUGAGCUCUACAGUGAUACCAGCCGCUGUGUGUUGAGAUGAUAUUGAAGAUGAGAGUUUCUUCAGUCUGUCCAGUCAGGUGCUUCAACUGUUCUUCAUUCUCUCUCUACCAGCACCGUUUUGCUCAGUGUCAAAUCAUCAGCAGGUGGUACAGCUGAGAACUGGUGAUCUAAACAGGAGAUAUUAAACUCUGCUCUGAGGAAGAGUCUCCUCAUAAACCCACAGUGAAGUUGUAUGUGAACAGAUGGAUGUGCAGAGUCAUCAGGAGGUGUUGAAGGGGAGCUCAGUGAGUCUGUACUGCUCUGCUGAGACUCUCUGCUCCUCUCCUCCAGCAACUCUCACAUGGAGCUCCACUCACAGACUACAGGAACAGCAGAGUCAAACUGAACUAAUCUCUUAUCUCAACUUCACUGCUACUCACCUUCAACAUACAGUCACUUUCACCUGCACUAUCACCUACCAGCUACAGGACAACAACAAAACAGCACACAACCUCACAUUACAUGUUACAUAUGCACACAAAAUCUUUCUCUCAUCCAGCUGUAACAGAGCUAAUGUCACUGAUGUGUGUUUAUAUGAGGUUGAUGGGAAUCCCUUUCCUAAACUGGAGUGGCGUCUAUCUGGACGUCUUGUAAUUAACUCUAUAAACACGUUGAUCAGUGAAGAGUGGUUGAGCAGAACAGUCUUGAGAAGCUCCAUCACUCUACGUCACUCAGUUACACACACAUCCACUCUGCAGUGAUCCACCACCAACACUCAUGGCAAUGACAGCAAAGAAUUUCAACUGAAUCUCUUUUCUCAGCCUCAGAAGAAAGAUGACAAUCUUUUAAUCUUCCUGAUUGGAGCUGCUGUUGGUCACCCAGCUGGGCGCCCUUCAUUGCUGUCAUGCGGAACAGCUGAAUGCCUCCAACGGGGCUUUGGAGGCCAUGGCAGCCCGUCUCACGGAGCUUACAUAACAGCUUCAACAGCUGCGGAGCACCCAUGAGCCUGCUUCUCCAGCCGCUCCCUCUGCUCCUCCUGAUGACCGGCCUGCCCUGCCGCAGUCUGAACCUUGCCUCAAUCCUCCUGAGCCCUAUAAUGGUGAGCCAUUAUCCUGCUGAUCAUUUCUAUCCCAGUGUUCUCAGGUUUUAUCCCUCCAGCACUCUGCAUUCCCCUCUGAGGCUUCCAAGGUGGCCUAUGUCAUCACCCUGCUGACUGGAUGGGCCCAUGAGUGGGGAACUGCAGUGUGGGAUGCUCAGGCCUCCUUCUGUUCCAGUUUUACUUCAUUUUCAGCUAAUAUGAAGAAGAUCUUAGACUGUUCUCUCCGGGGCAUGGAGGCCACUUGCCAGCUGUAUGACAUCAAACAGGGGGAGCAUUCUGUCUCGGACUUCGCAAUCGGAUUUUCGCAAUUGGACUUAGCGGCUUCUGGGGAUUGGAACAAGGGUGCAUUGUGGGAUGCCUUCCUGUAUGGGCUCACCGACCACAUCCUUGAUGAAAUCUAUGCCUUGGAUCUACCACCACACUUUGAAGACCUGGUCAGCCUUGCUAUAAGGGUGGACAACAAGCAAGCACUAUGCCAGUGCCAUCGUGCUUCUCGGCCCUUUGGUGCUUGGGCAGGACCCCAAUGUUCUGGCUCUGCCUCUGCCUUUCCUGACCUACCUUCUGACUUUGAACCCAUGGAGGCCGGCUGGACUCGGUUGGCAAAGGAGGAGAGUCAGCGACAUCUUACUCUGGGACCGUAUUGUGGAGGUUCUGGUCAUUUUGUCAACACCUGCCCAUAAAGGCGCUGCUCACCAGUAGUAAGGGGUGUUCUGGUGAGUGUGACUUCUGUGGAUCCGACCCCUUCACGCACUCCAUGCCAUACUGCAUUGUGAUAAUCUUCAACACCCCUGCUUAGUCUACAUCGACUCAGGGGCUGAGGGUAACUUCAUUGACUCUUCAUUGGCCAGACAUUUGGGUCUUCCAGUAACAGAUCUGGAUUUUUCUCUGGAUGCUAGCGGUCUGAGUGGCCAACCCCUGAAGAGAGUUACCCAAGCCUCCAUCCUGUCAAUCCUGCAGAUCUUUCUGGUGUUCCAGCAGUUAACCAUGACCUGCGAGGGGUGUUCAGUCCGUCUCUGACUGCGUCUCUUCCUCCGCAUCGCCCCUAUGAUUGUGCCAUAUAUCUGCUGCCUGGUGCUUCUCCACACCGAGCCAGCUUUAUUCCUUGUCGGACUUGGAAUGAGAGGUCAUGGAGAAAUAAAUUGAGGAGUUUCAGGUAGCCGGACUCAUUCACCCCUCCUCAUCGUCAGUGGGUGCAGGUUUCUUCUACGUGGAGAAGAAGGAUGGUUCGCUUCGGCACUGCAUUGACUAUCAAGGGCUGAACAACAUGACCAUCAAAAACAGGUAUCCCCUACCACUCAUGUCUACAGCCUUUGAGCUGUUGCAGGGAGUGGCCAUCUUCACGAAAUUGGACCUGCGCAACGCUUACCACUUGGUAUGCAUAAGGGAGAGGGAUGAGUGGAAGUUUAAUAUACCCACAGGACACUUUGAGUACCUGGUUAUGCCCUUUGGAUUGACUAAUGCCCCGGCCAUCUUCCAAGCUCUUGUGAAUGACGUGUUGAGAGAUAUGGUAAAUUACUUUGUCUUUGUGUAUCUGGAUGACAUACUGAUCUUCUCCCAGUCUCUCCAAGAACACACACAGCACAUCCGCCAGGUCCUCCAGAGGCUGCUUGAGAACCAACUCUUGGAGAAGUGUCAGUUCCAUGCACGGUCGGUUCCGUUCUUGGAGUUUUUUGUCUCCACUAAGGGAAUUCAAGUGGAUCCUGAUAAGAGAUGGUGGUGGCGGCAGUGUCGUGGGAGAUCGAGGCUCGGGUCAGGAGAGUGGUUAGGACGGUCACCGCCCUGGAGGAGUGUCCAGAGGGUCUGCUGUUCAUCCCUGUGUCAGUCUGACUGCCCGUCCUCCUAUCUCUCCCACCCCGGCUAGCUGAUGGGACCUAUAUAGUGUCCGGCGACUGUUGGAUGUCAGAAGGAGGGGCUGGGAUUUCCAGUACCUGGUGGACUGGAAGGGCAACAGACCAGGAGGAGAGAUGUUGGCUCCCGGCCCGGGACAUCCUGGAUCCAUCCCACAUUGACAAUUUCCACUGUUGUCACAGGUCGGCCACCCUGUGGCACUCCUGGGAGGGGAGGUACUGUUGUGUUUCUGGGGUGAUAUGCCAGUGAAAUUGUUCUUUUGUCUUUUCUCUAUGUUCCCUCAUGUGCCUGUUUGUUUUCAGGUUCCAUGUGCUCUCUCACCAGUUUCCUGUCUCGUUUUUUAACCCGUUCCCUUGUUUGCCUUGUUAUCAAUUCAGUAUUUCCACCUGUCUCCCUCGUUACCCUUCUCAUUUGUUCCCCUAUAUAUUGUCCUCAUGUUUUCAGUUCUGUGCCAGAUCGUCAUGUGUUCUCCUACAAGCUUUCCAGCCAUCUGAACAUCUUUCAGGUUAAUUAUGUUUUUCUCUGCCUUGUCUUAGUUGUCAGUCUGUUCCCAGACAAUUUCUCCUCUGACUGCUUCCAGGCAGCUACAGGAUCUUCACCUCCAAAGUCACGGCCCCUCUCCUCUGGUUUCCCAACCACCUGUUCUCUGCUGUGGAGUCACCUGCCUCUCUCCUGGGCCUCACUGCUUACCCUCAGCCCCUCACCCUACCCAGACCCCACCGGGCAAUCCACUCGACUUGCCAGCCAGUUCAGAUACUGACACAAAGGCAGAGAGCUCUGUAAAAGCUGUUGACCAUCAGCACAACAGCAACAUCUCAUCAACUUUGAUGGAUUUCCAGAAAGAUCAAACCAAACCAGACAGAGAGGCAAAGAUCAGAGAAGUGUCCUCUCAGCCAUCAUAAGACACUACAUAUGUAUGAAAAUAUCACCCAUCCCAAGACUGUUCCCAUAGGACCACAGUUGGUCAUGAGUGCAGAUGUAGUCACACACGAAGUGCUAUCAAAGGAAAGUGACUAAGCUACUAUAGCAGUCAGGUGAAUUUUCUGACCUUUAUGCACAAGUAAAAAAGCAUUGCUGCCAAGACUGCUAGAUCAUCACGGUUCCCUCAAAAUUCUUCAUUGAUUUUAAAAAUCUUUCUUUCUCAUUUAGAAAAUGUUCAAAUGGAAUGAAUGAUCAUGUUUCCAUUUUAAGUAAAACAUUUUUUAAUUUAAUUUAAUUAAAUUAUUAUGAAUGAUCAGUGCUGUGGGAAUAAUUUUAUCCAAACAUGUUUUGUUUAACUUUAUCAAAGACCACAAUCGAAGUAGUAUGUGAUUUUAAAUCACACAGAAAGUUUCAAAUCAUUAAUUUAUUCAAGAGAAAAACAUGAAGAAAUGUAAAGAUGUUUAUUCACAGAAAGAAUUUAUUAUACUGUAUGUGUUCUUCAUAAUGUGUGAAUAGCUAAUUCAUCUUUUUCUCACAGACUGUCUCUAAAUUUCCUCUCAUCUUCAUCUAAACAUAGUUUUUAGUGUACUUGAAACCUCAUUGUAAAUGUAAACCAUUUAUUUUUAUUUAUGCUUUAAUAUCAAUAAAGUAUCUACAGUACACAG
Molecule: long non-coding RNA, 8119 nt
Organism: Myxocyprinus asiaticus (Chinese sucker)
Lineage: Eukaryota; Metazoa; Chordata; Actinopteri; Cypriniformes; Catostomidae
Exons: 8
Source: RefSeq, a predicted model, not a curated record